CUGAGACGUGCAGGGAAGAUUAUGGCUGAUCCCUCCCACCCUGGACACAAACUCCUUGUGCCACUCCCCUCCGGCAGAAGGCUGCGGUCCAUCAGGACCAAAACCUCACGCCACCUGAGCAGCUUCUUCCCGUCUGCGGUUGGCCUCAUCAACAAGGCCCGGGACCCCCGCCCCCCAACACGGACUCUAAUCCCUUUUUUGCACACUCCUGCUGUAACCUAAUAUGUGUAUUGUUUAUUGUUUAUUGUGUAUGUUUAUUGUUUGCACCAUUGUACCACAAAGAAUUCCUCGUAGGUGAAAACCUACUUGGCAGUAAAAACCUUUCUGAUUCUGAUUCUGAUUCUGAUUCUGAUUCUGAUUCUGAUUCUGAUUUAAGUGUUACAGGCCAAAAGAGAAAAAGAUUGUAUGAGCCAAUGUAACCUCGACCGGUUAAGCAAAAAAGGCAGGAAAGUCAUUGUCAAGUCAUUGCCUUGUUAGGUACUGACUAAGACUGUAGAUGAGCCAUUAAGUGUUUGAAGUGUUACAGGCCAAAAUAGAAAAAAAAGUACUUUUUUUUUUUUUUACUGAUUUUGUUUAUCAUUAUACAUGCAUAAAUACUUUUUUUUUUAACUGAUUUAAGUGUUACAGGCCAAAAGAGAAAAAGAUCGUAUGAGCCAAUGUAACCUCGACCGGUUAAGCAAAAAAGGCAGGAAAGUCAUUGGCUAGCCUUGUUAGGUGCUGACUAAGACUGUAGAUAAGCCAUUAAGUGUUUGAAGUGUUACAGGCCAAAAUAGAAAAAAAUAGUACUUUUUUUUUUUUUUAACUGAUUUUGUUUAUCAAUAUACAUAUAUAAAUACUUUUUUUUUUUUUUUUUUACUGACUUUGUUUAUCAAUAUACAUGCAUACAUACUUUUUUUUUUUUUUUUUUUUACUGAUUUUGUUUAUCAAUAUACAUAAAUACUUUUUUUUUUUUUUUAACUGAUUUAAGUGUUACAGGCCAAAAGAGAAAAAGAUUGUAUGAGUAUAUUGGUAACCUCGACCGGUUAAGCAAAAAAGACAGGAAAGCCAUUGGCUAGCCUUGUUAGGUACUGACUAAGAUUGUAGAUGAGCCAUUAAGUGUUUGAAGUGUUACAGGCCAAAAUAGAAAAAAAAAGUACUUUUUUUUUUUACUGAUUUUGUUUAUUAAUACACAUGCAUAAAUACUUUUUUUUUUUUUUUUUUAACUGAUUUUGUUUAUCAAUAUACAUGCAUUAAUACUUUUUUUUUAACUGAUUUAAGUGUUAGAGGCCAAAAGAGAAAAAAAUUGUAUGAGCAUAUUGGUAACCUCGACCGGUUAAGCAAAAAAGGCAGGAAAGUCAUUGGCUAGCCUUGUUAGGUGCUGACUAAGACUGUAGAUGAGCCAUUAAGUGUUUGAAGUGUUACAGGCCAAAAUAGAAAAAAAAGUACUUUUUUUUAACUGAUUUUGUUUAUCAUUAUACAUGCAUAAAUACUUUUUUUUUUUAACUGAUUUAAGUGUUACAGGCCAAAAGAGAAAAAGAUUGUAUGAGCCAAUGUAACCUCGACCGGUUAAGCAAAAAAGGCAGGAAAGUCAUUGGCUAGCCUUGUUAGGUACUGACUAAGACUGUAGAUGAGCCAUUAAGUGUUUGAAGUGUUACAGGCCAAAAUAGAAAAAAAUAGUACUUUUUUUUUUUUUUACUGAUUUUGUUUAUCAAUAUACAUGCAUACAUACUUUUUUUUUUUUUUUUUAACUGAUUUAAGUGGUACAGGCCAAAAGAGAAAAAAAUAGUACCUUUUUUUUUUUAACUGAUUUUGUUUAUCAAUAUACAUGCAUAAAUACUUUUUUUUUUUAACUGAUUUAAGUGUUACAGGCCAAAAGGGAAAAAGAUUGUAUGAGCCAAUGUAACCUCGACCGGUUAAGCAAAAAAGGCAGGAAAGUCAUUGGCUAGCCUUGUUAGGUACUGACUAAGACUGUAGAUGAGCCAUUAAGUGUUUGAAGUGUUACAGGCCAAAAUAGAAAAAAAUAGUACUUUUUUUUUUUUUAACUGAUUUUGUUAAUCAAUAUACAUGCAUAAAUACUUUUUUUUUUAAACUGAUUUAAGUGUUACAGGCCAAAGAGAAAAAGAUUGUAUGAGCAUAUUGGUAACCUCGACCGGUUAAGCAAAAAAGGCAGGAAAGCCAUUGGCUAGCCUUGUUAGGUGCUGACUAAGACUGUAGAUGAGCCAUUAAGUGUUUGAAGUGUUACAGAUCAAAAUAGAAAAAAAAGUACUUUUUUUUUUUUUUUUUUUCGACUGAUUUUCUUUAUCAAUAUACAUGCAUUAAUAC
Long non-coding RNA from Clupea harengus (Atlantic herring), 2301 nucleotides. Lineage: Eukaryota; Metazoa; Chordata; Actinopteri; Clupeiformes; Clupeidae. The record is from Ensembl.